This 198-nucleotide ribosomal RNA is filed under the name Triticum aestivum (bread wheat). Its description in RNAcentral is "partial small subunit ribosomal RNA". Lineage: Eukaryota; Viridiplantae; Streptophyta; Magnoliopsida; Poales; Poaceae. The record is from RNAcentral.
AUGAUGAGCUCGAAGUACCAGACCUCGGGGCACUUCUGCCAGAGCACGAAGCCGCCGACCUCGGCGCGUCCCUGGGCGGCGGUGACUGUCUGGUCGCCGAGGUGGAACUCGGACGCGCACAUCUUCACCUUCCCGACGGCGUACAUGCUCUGCACGCCCUGCAGCGCCGCCUGCCCGCCCGUGGCGGCGAUGUACUGA